ACCCUCCCUUCUUCACAUCCAAUUUUCUUUCCUGACUACCAGGCUGAGCAAAUCAGAGUGCUUUCAGGCCCAACACACAGGCAACAGCCUGGCAUGGACUUCUCUAUCAACCCCCAAAAUUGCAUGGGGUCUAAUUUAUAUAGAAAAGUGCCAAUUCUGAAUCAUAGUGGUUUUGCUCCUUUAAUUGACCUAAGCUGAUACAACAGUGCUUAAAACUUUUUUUUGCCAAUAAAUAGGUGAAAUUGUAAUACUUUUUGCAUUUUUACUUUUUAAAAAAAUUUCCAAUAUUCUAUUUGCAUUCUUAUUAUGAAUGAUGUCAAACAUCUUCACGUUCAUUUAAAGGCUUCUGAAGUUUACUUCCAUUGAUUGUUCAUAUCCAUUGCCUAAUUUUUCCAAUGGAUUUUGGGUUUGUUUUUUUUUUCUCAUUGUUUAAGUAACAACUUUCUAUAUGUUUGGGAAAUUACCCUCUUUUUAAGAGUCUUGAUCUUGGGGUUGUAAAUGUGAGCCCCACAUUGGGUGUAGAUAUUACUAAAAAUAAAAUCUUUUUAAAAAAAAAUCCCAUUGCCAAUAGCAAUUCUCCAAGCAAAAAUCUAGGAACCAAAACUCCUCCUAUUUUCUGGCUCUGCCACCUUCAAUAUGCCAUUUUCUUUUUAAGAUUUAUAUAUGGGGGCGCCUGGGUGGCUCAGUUGGUUAGGUGUCUGCCCUCGGCUUGGGUCAUAAUCCCAGGGUCCUGGGAUUGAGCCCCACAUCGGGCUCCCUGCUCAGUGAGGAGUCUAUGUUUCCCUCUCCCUCUGGCUUCCCUACCCUUGCUCGUGCUCUCUCUCUGUCUCACAAAUAAUCUUUAAAAAAAAAAAAAAAGAUUUAUGUAUGUAUGUAUGUAAUCUCUAUACCCAAUGUAGGGCUUGAACUCAUGACCCUGAGAUCAAGAAUCAUAUGUUUUUCCAACUAAGCUAGCCAAGAGCCCCAACAUGCCAUUUUCAAAUGUUCCCAAGAUUUCUGUGUACAUUAAAGUACCAAAUGGCAAAAGAAAGAGUUUGGCCCAUCUACUGCGAUUAAAAACAAAACCAACAGAAAAACAAUAAAAAAAAAAAAAAAAAAAAAAACACUCAGUAUGCCGGAAACAGAAGGAAACUUCCUCAAUAUGAUGAAGGGCAUUUUUGAAAAACCCAAAGCUAACAUCAAAAUCAGUGGUAAAAGCCUGAAAGCUUUCCCCAUAAGAUCAAGAGAAAGACAAGGAUGCCACUUUCACCACUUAUAUUUAACACAGUACUAAGUUUUGGGAGUCUUAGCCAAAGCAAUUGGGCAAGAAAAACAAGAUAGAAAAGGUAUCCAAAUUGGAAAGAAAGAAGUAAAAUGAUCUGUUUGCACAUAUUUGUUUAUUAUAACAGCUUUUUUUUUUCUUAUGAAAUCUUUAGAAUACCAAAGUCGUAGGAUAAAAAAAUCAACAACUUUAGUUGAGUUUUAUAUACUAAAACUAAACAAUCCAGAAAAGAAAAUUAAGAAAUUCCAUGUAGAAUAGCAACAAAAAGAAUAAAAUUCUUAGGAAUAAAUUUAACCGAGGAGGCAAAGGCUUAUACACUAAGAACUACAAAACACUGCUGAAAAAAAUUAAAGAUGACACAAAUGGAAAGUCACCUGUGUUCACAGAAUGGAAGACCUAAUGUUGCUAAGAUGUCAAUACUACCCAAAACUAGCUACAGAGGUCAUUGUGAUCCCUUUCAAAAUCCCAGUAUUUUUGGCAGAAAUAAAAUUCAUCCUUAUCUUAAAGUUUUUUAAAAAGUGCUAAUUGUGGGGGAUCCCUGGGUGGCGCAGUGGUUUGGCGCCUGCCUUUGGCCCAGGGCGCGAUCCUGGAGACCCGGGAUCGAGUCCCACGUUGGGCUCCCGGUGCAUGGAGCCUGCUUCUCCCUCUGCCUGUGUCUCUGCCUCUCUCUCUGUGACUAUCAUAAAUAAAUAAAUAAAAAUUAAAAAAAAAAGUGCUAAUUGUGGUUUCUUAUUUCUUCUUAUGGAGGAGAGUUAACUUACAUAAACUGAACUGUUAACUUCUUAUGGAGGAGAGUUAACUUACAUAAACUGAACUGAACUGUAGUGUUCCUCAUACUUGGACAUAUGUAUGUAUAAACAUGUGUUGUUUAUGUUAUAUACAUGUGUUACAUAGAUGAUAUAUACACACACAGGCUCUGAUUCAAUAGGUCUGGGGUGGAACCCAACAGUCUUUUCUGUCAUGUUCCCAGGCAAUGCCUAGGAUGCAUGGGUAUCACCUAGGAACUUGUUAGGUCUCAUCAGCUACAUAUUUAGGAAAAAUCUACAUGUAGCCUAUAUGAUCUCCUCCUUACUCCCCCCCCACCCCUCCUCUCCACCUCAUUUCUUGUCCUUUGGCCCAUUGCUGUCCUCCCUCCUUCAGCUACAGCCAUACUCACCUCACUGUUGUUCCUCAUAUGCCCUAAGGAGGCUUCUGACUCAGGGCCUUGGCACUAACUGGGUCCUCUGCCUGGAUCACUCUAUCCCCACUUUAUAUGGGCAUGACCUGCUUCUGUACCUUCACUUGUUGCUCAAGUGUCACCUUUUCAGAGAGGCAUUUCCUGACCACCAUAUAUAAAAUAGAAUGCCCAUUCCCCAACACCCAAAAUAUGUGUACAUGUUUACUGACUGCCCCUCCCCAUUAAAAUUUUAAGUUCCACAUCUGUUUUAUUAUUGGCAAAUGGCCAGGGCCUAGAACAGUGCUGGCCAUAUCAUAGGUUCUUAAUAAAUAAUAAAUAGUACAGAGCCAUUCAUUUAGAUUAAAACUUAAAAAUCUCAAGUCAAAUGAGGUAUCUGGAUGAUGCAGUCAGUUGAGCUACCGACUCUAGGUUUCGGCUCAUGAUCUCAGGGUUCUGGGAUUGAGCCCUACAUCAGGCUCUGAGCUCAGCAGCAUAGUCCAUUUGGAUUUGCCUCUCCUUUUUUUUUAUAAUAAAUUUAUUUUUUAUUGGUGUUCA
This 2972-nucleotide long non-coding RNA is filed under the name Canis lupus familiaris (dog). Its description in RNAcentral is "lncRNA (ENSCAFG00845012848.1)". Lineage: Eukaryota; Metazoa; Chordata; Mammalia; Carnivora; Canidae. The record is from RNAcentral.